This is a long non-coding RNA of Dunckerocampus dactyliophorus (ringed pipefish), 1079 nucleotides long. RefSeq lists it as uncharacterized. Lineage: Eukaryota; Metazoa; Chordata; Actinopteri; Syngnathiformes; Syngnathidae. The transcript is spliced from 3 exons. The record is from RefSeq and is a predicted model, not a curated record.
AAAACUGAGAACCAGUAGUAUCCACUCUUCUGUCUGUCUCAUUGCAGUGGCUUGAGGCCUUGUGUUGCUCCGCCAGAUUAAUAUAGUUUUUUGUGCUAGCUGCUACAAUAACAAUAUCACUGUAGCGUGGUUUAUAUACAGGUCAGUUAUGUAAAUGGAACACUUUUGGUGUUUUUUGAGGGUUUUUUGUUCGGGCUUAGCGUCAAAAUAGGUACCUCCCAUGACGUGCAUUGUUAGCUGGCUCAUACUAACUCGUUUUCUCUCGCGAGAACGCACAGAAAAGGGAAAGAAAUAUGUGUUCGACGGGCAGAAAAAUUGUACAUUUAUGCAAUAAGGUGCUGCUCUGCUGCCCUCUAACUGUCAUGUGUUGCAGCACACCUACCGACCCCUGGGAGGAGCUCAUGCGCACCUGUUGGCAAUCAGCGUCUGGACUAUUUCAUCCCUGUCUUGUUCCUCACCUGUUGCCAGAUUGUCUUCCCGUGCACGCAUGUUCUCUGCUCUUGCCUACCUCGCUCUGCCCUGCAUUUUGCGGAUAAACGUCAUUCCGGAAGGUGACGAGGAAGCGCGUGGGGCGGAAAGGCGAGCCAGACGUACUCAAAACGCUUUGACACAUUCACACGACUGAUGACGCAGCAUCAGGACCAGUUUGGGGGUUCAGUGCCUUGGCCGAGGAUCGAACCAGCAACCUUCCGUUUGGAAAGCCCACCGCUCUACCACAGUCCAAGGUAGCCAUCGAGGAUGUGCAUCAAUCCCCAUGUGCAGACCCCGGUGAGUGCGACAGUGUGAGAGGGGAGGAGUCAGAAUUCCUCUUAACUUCCACAGGAAAAGACAGCAGAAUGGAAAUGGAGAGGCCGCGUCAAGCAAUCCGAGAGCGAACACGGUAUGCCUGCCCUCUUCUGGUCACCACCUCACCUUCCAUGUAGUUUUCCCACAGGUGUGGUUGAGUGAGGUCGUUGACUCGUCAGGUGGAGGUGGCAAAUAAAUAAAUAAUGUAUUCUUUUUUUUUUUUUAAAUGAAUGAUUGCUCCACCCCUAGCACCAAGCAGACCUGCACACGCAAAAAGCAAGACGAAUAGCACA